Molecule: unclassified non-coding RNA, 788 nt
Filed under: Melitaea cinxia (Glanville fritillary)
Lineage: Eukaryota; Metazoa; Arthropoda; Insecta; Lepidoptera; Nymphalidae
Description: misc RNA ENSMCXG00005000621.1
Source: RNAcentral
GUCUAUUGUGAUCUAUUCAAACGGUUUAUUAUUAUGAUAAGACUUUCACACAAACCUUAAUACUUGUAGUUAACUUUUUUUACUUUGCACCCGUCGAUAUGAGAAAAUUAAUGACGUCAUCGCCGUAUACCAAUGUUUAGAUACAACCUUGUACAAUAGUUCAGUCGGUUCUGAGAGAGGCCAGGCCUAAAUUGAAUUACAACUGCAUCUUCAAUGAUGCCGCAUUCGUUACACAACAGUGGCAAUAGAUGGCAGCACAAGCCAUAUUUACACCUUCGAUACUACGCAACUUAAAUUAUAUAAGUUUCAUUUUUUAAGGCAAAAACUAAUCGAAUGUCUCAAUAUUAUGUUUUUUUUGUACUAAAACCGAAUUUAUUUUUGUAAUGUCGUUUUUAAUCGACUUCAAAAAAGGAGGAAGUUCUCAAUUUGACUGUAUUUUUUUUUGUGUUUAAUUUUGAUGAUUCUUUUUUUAAUCGAAACGUAUCCUUGUCGCGUGGUCCCAUUUAAAUUUGAUCAAGAUCUAACAAGUAGUUUUUGAGUUAUCGCUAAUAAUGGGUAUUUACUUGACUAUUUUUUCAACUACCCUCAUUGUAUUUACUUGUCGAUGUUAGGUCGGUUUUUUUCGUUUGCAAGCAAACAAUUAAUUUUUUUAUAAGUUCUCUGUGUAUAAACGAUAAAUCAAGUUCAGUAAUCAAAAAUUGUAUUGAAGGUGUCGAUGGGCUAAAUUAAUGUAAUUUAAAAACAUGUUUGUUACGAAGAAUAUGGGUAAUAAAGUUGAUAUAAGUUUA